GUAGGGAAUAUUGCACAAUGGAGGAAACUCUGAUGCAGCGACGCCGCGUGAGUGAUGAAGGCCUUCGGGUCGUAAAGCUCUGUCGCAGGGGAAUAACACAAUGAAGGUACCCUGUAAGAAAGGAUCGGCUAACUUCGUGCCAGCAGCCGCGGUAAGACGAGGGAUCCUAGCGUUGUUCGGAAUCAUUGGGCGUAAAGCGGAUGUAGGUGGCUAUGUAAGUCAGAUGUGAAAGCCUGGGGCUCAACCCCAGAAGUGCAUUUGAUACUGCGUAGCUUGAGUGUCGGAGAGGUUACUAGAAUUGUUGGUGUAGUGGUGAAAUACGUAGAUAUCAACAGAAAUACCGGAGGCGAAGGCGGGUAACUGGCCGAACACUGACACUGAGAUCCGAAAGCGUGGGGAUCAAACAGGAUUAGAUACCCCGGUAGUUCC
RNAcentral lists this ribosomal RNA (429 nucleotides) under uncultured bacterium. RNAcentral describes it as "partial 16S ribosomal RNA". It matches the Rfam family "Bacterial small subunit ribosomal RNA", at positions 354 to 796 of the family's 1533-position model. The record is from RNAcentral.